This 253-nucleotide ribosomal RNA is filed under the name uncultured bacterium. RNAcentral's name for it is "partial 16S ribosomal RNA". It matches the Rfam family "Bacterial small subunit ribosomal RNA", at positions 524 to 776 of the family's 1533-position model. The record is from RNAcentral.
UACGUAGGGGGCAAGCGUUGUCCGGAAUUAUUGGGCGUAAAGAGCGCGUAGGCGGUCCGGUAAGUCGGUUGUGAAAGUCGGGGGCUCAACCCUCGGAUGCCGAUCGAUACUGUCGGGCUAGAGUCCGGAAGAGGCGAGUGGAAUUCCUGGUGUAGCGGUGAAAUGCGUAGAUAUCGUAAGGAAGACCAGUGGCGAAGGCGGGUCUCUGGACAGUUCCUGACGCUGAGGCACGAAGGUCAGGGGAGCAAACGGG